Solanum lycopersicum (tomato) is the source of this 1118-nucleotide non-coding RNA. The record is from RefSeq and is a predicted model, not a curated record. Lineage: Eukaryota; Viridiplantae; Streptophyta; Magnoliopsida; Solanales; Solanaceae.
CUAAUUGUUGCAACCAAACAACCCCUUAAAAUUUUCUCUGUUCAUACAGAAAUAUUUCUGAUGAAUAAACAGUAUAUGAUUAGGGCCGCCAUCAUCCGCCGCCCCGUCGCUACCAGAUUCAACGUCCCUCCGACAACAAUGCCAUCAUGGUUACGGCGGCUGAUUCACUAACCAAUAACUCAGUCCUGAUACACAAAUUCUCAGUUAAGGAGGACGAACAGUACGAAAAAGUUGAGGUUGAAGAAGAAAAUGGCGAAGGAUCAGCUCCAUUCGAGGAUGUAGAUCAUAAAAAAAAAAAAUGAAAUCUCCAUCUAGAUGCUUGGACUGGACAUAUUUCCUUGGAAGCAGGUGUUUCAGGAAGCAGUAGAUCCUAAUGUCGCAAUAUGCUCGCUGGAGCAAUGGAAACUUCUGGGGCGUCAAUAUUUGAAGGGAUUGCCGGAGAUAGACAGAGUAACUCAGCUACUUAAGAAGGUAAUGAGUAGGGUUUGAAUUAUGAUACUGUCCUUAUCAUAUGAAAAGAGUCAAUUUCAUAGAAUUCAAUGGCCGUCUGCAUAUACUUUCGAAGACUUAGACUCCCUCCUGCUUUGGAUGGAUAGCAAACCCGUAGAGCUACAACUUCCACAGCUUUUAUAAUUCAGCAGAUGCUUUAUCUGUAGUAAUGAUACUGAACAGGCGAAUGAAGCCUUUACAAGCCGGAGAAGGUGAAUGAUCUAGCAGGCGGCCAGUUGGAAGGAGAAACCUGAGACGUUAGAUGAGAAUGUAAGACUCAAUUAUUCGCCUUUUGGUGUGAUCUUAAGAUCUAAAAGACCGAUAUUUCAAUGGACUUUUUUGAACACUUUGUAUCGUGGGCGAGCUAGGGUAUCAAAAGAGGGUUCAUCCAAACCUCCUUUGACGAAAAUAAGGGUACCAAUCCAAUUUAUUCCUAUUUUGAAUGUGUUUUAAAGUUCUACCUUUAGAAAAAGUAUAGCAUUUGUUAAUUGUAGGAACAAAGGAACCAACUAAUCCCCUAUGGAAAGUAGAAUGAAAAAGGAGCUAAUCUUGUAUGAGAAUCUGGCAUUCAAUGGCCACAAUCAAAAGUGAAAUUUUCACUUUAUACAUAAAAAAAAAUUCUUCUUAAA